Gavialis gangeticus (Gharial) is the source of this 794-nucleotide long non-coding RNA. RefSeq lists it as uncharacterized. The transcript has 3 exons. The record is from RefSeq and is a predicted model, not a curated record. NCBI's taxonomy places the organism in Eukaryota, Metazoa, Chordata, Crocodylia, Gavialidae.
GGGGGGGAAGCCAUGAUAAAGCCAGAGAGAGCAGCUAAACAUCUGCAACUCUCCCUCUCUCUCUCUCGAAACACAUGGACACCCUACAAACUGCCUGCCUCUGGAGGAAAGCUCUAUCAGCCUCUAGAUGAUCCUUGAGUGAUGGCUUCAUCCAAGCUGCCUUAUGGAAUGAAAUGGAUUAGACCUUGUGAGCACCAUCUGAGGACUACCCAAGGGCCUGAUAAAAAUAGGAGACGCACUAUCUUCAUCAAGAACCUUGAAUUUUCACACCCCAAAGCACUAAACCAGCUCUGCUACUCCAUCAGAACCUCUGGAAGAGGAUUCUAUAUACAACCAACCAACCUAAACCUCCAGGGACUUCUCCAGUAUACAGGCUGUGUUAUACAGAAGAGCUGUCUGACUGACUAUAGACACCGUUCUCUUGAAUAUACAGUGAAUCUGAUCAGAAUGUAUGAGACGUCACACUGGCUUGGAUCACAAGCAUCUAGCCCAGUACUGAGUCUCUCCCCGUGGUACAAAAUAAAAGCAGGGCCUACCUUGACUGACCUGUCCCCAACCCCUCUUACCUGACAGCUUUCACAUUUAGAGGCUUAGGAUGUUACCAUUUGGAGGUUGCAUCCAUAAUCAUUAUGUUUAAUAUCCACCAAUGGACAUACCCUCCAUGAAUUUGUCCCAUCUUCUUUUCAACCCAGUUAAAUUGUCAGCCUCUAGAAAAUACAUUCAAAAAACCCAAGUAAGCAUAGCGACCCCACUUGCACAUUUGGUAGAUUUUGUCCAGUGUACUCACUCUUAUC